CCGACCAUACUUGAACAGGAUCUGUUCUAUAGGCUCGUACCUCUGUAUCCUUGAGUUCUAAGGAGACAGGAAACCAAGCCUGGUAGAUGAACUAUGGCCAAGAAGAUUUCACCCAGAGUGCAGGAU
RNAcentral lists this small nucleolar RNA (126 nucleotides) under Ipomoea nil (Japanese morning glory). Its description in RNAcentral is "Plant small nucleolar RNA U3". It matches the Rfam family "Plant small nucleolar RNA U3". Rfam says of the family: Small nucleolar RNAs (snoRNAs) are involved in the processing and modification of rRNA in the nucleolus. Lineage: Eukaryota; Viridiplantae; Streptophyta; Magnoliopsida; Solanales; Convolvulaceae. The record is from Rfam by way of RNAcentral.